This 450-nucleotide ribosomal RNA is filed under the name uncultured bacterium. RNAcentral describes it as "bacterial SSU rRNA". It matches the Rfam family "Bacterial small subunit ribosomal RNA", at positions 354 to 796 of the family's 1533-position model. The record is from RNAcentral.
GUGGGGAAUAUUGGACAAUGGGCGAAAGCCUGAUCCAGCCAUGCCGCGUGUGUGAAGAAGGUCUUCGGAUUGUAAAGCACUUUAAGUUGGGAGGAAGGGCAGUAAGUUAAUACCUUGCUGUUUUGACGUUACCGACAGAAUAAGCACCGGCUAACUUCGUGCCAGCAGCCGCGGUAAUACGAAGGGUGCAAGCGUUAAUCGGAAUUACUGGGCGUAAAGCGCGCAUAGGUGGUUUUGUAAGUUGGAGGUGAAAUCCCCGGGCUCAACCUGGGAACUGCCUCCAAAACUGCAUGACUAGAGUACGGUAGAGGGUAGUGGAAUUUCCUGUGUAGCGGUGAAAUGCGUAGAUAUAGGAAGGAACACCAGUGGCGAAGGCGACUACCUGGACUGAUACUGACACUGAGGUGCGAAAGCGUGGGGAGCAAACAGGAUUAGAAACCCGGGUAGUCC